AGUGAACGCUGGCGGUAGGCCUAACACAUGCAAGUCGAACGGCAGCACAGUAAGAGCUUGCUCUUACGGGUGGCGAGUGGCGGACGGGUGAGGAAUACAUCGGAAUCUACUUUUUCGUGGGGGAUAACGUAGGGAAACUUACGCUAAUACCGCAUACGACCUACGGGUGAAAGCAGGGGAUCUUCGGACCUUGCGCGAUUGAAUGAGCCGAUGUCGGAUUAGCUAGUUGGCGGGGUAAAGGCCCACCAAGGCGACGAUCCGUAGCUGGUCUGAGAGGAUGAUCAGCCACACUGGAACUGAGACACGGUCCAGACUCCUACGGGAGGCAGCAGUGGGGAAUAUUGGACAAUGGGCGCAAGCCUGGUCCAGCCAUACCGCGCGGGUGAAGAAGGCCUUCGGGUUGUAAAGCCCUUUUGUUGGGAAAGAAAAGCAGCAGGUUAAUACCCCGCUGUUCUGACGGUACCCAAAGAAUAAGCACCGGCUAACUUCGUG
RNAcentral lists this ribosomal RNA (492 nucleotides) under uncultured bacterium. RNAcentral describes it as "partial 16S ribosomal RNA". It matches the Rfam family "Bacterial small subunit ribosomal RNA", at positions 29 to 507 of the family's 1533-position model. The record is from RNAcentral.